RNAcentral lists this ribosomal RNA (253 nucleotides) under uncultured bacterium. Its description in RNAcentral is "partial 16S ribosomal RNA". It matches the Rfam family "Bacterial small subunit ribosomal RNA", at positions 524 to 776 of the family's 1533-position model. The record is from RNAcentral.
GACGAGCCACCCGAACGUUAUUCGGAAUUACUGGGCUUAAAGGGUGCGUAGGCGGUGCAGCAAGUCGGGAGUGAAAUACCUCAGCUCAACUGAGGAACUGCUCUCGAUACUGCUGUGCUUGAGUGAGACAGAGGUAAGCGGAACAUCGGGUGGAGCGGUGAAAUGCGUUGAUAUCCGAUGGAACACCGGUGGCGAAGGCGGCUUACUGGGUCUCUACUGACGCUGAGGCACGAAAGCGUGGGGAGCAAACAGG